This 780-nucleotide ribosomal RNA is filed under the name uncultured microorganism. RNAcentral's name for it is "bacterial SSU rRNA". It matches the Rfam family "Bacterial small subunit ribosomal RNA", at positions 56 to 819 of the family's 1533-position model. The record is from RNAcentral.
UGCAGUCGCGCGCGAAAGGGGGGCAACUCCCAAGUAGAGCGGCGAACGGGUGAGUAACGCGUGGGUGAUCUACCUUCGAGUAGGGAACAACAUCGGGAAACUGGUGCUAAUACCGCAUGACAUCCUCGAGUCACAUCGAGGAUCAAAGCCGGGGACCGCAAGGCCUGGCGCUUGAAGAUGAGCCCGCGUCCGAUUAGCUAGUUGGCGGGGUAAUGGCCCACCAAGGCGACGAUCGGUAGCCGGCCUGAGAGGGCGGACGGCCACACUGGAACUGAGACACGGUCCAGACUCCUACGGGAGGCAGCAGUGGGGAAUUUUUCGCAAUGGGCGCAAGCCUGACGAAGCAACGCCGCGUGGAGGAUGAAGGCCUUCGGGUCGUAAACUCCUGUCGACUGGGACGAAAGCAGUCUGGGCUAAUAUCCCGGGCUGUUGACUGUACCGGUGGAGGAAGCCACGGCUAACUCUGUGCCAGCAGCCGCGGUAAUACAGAGGUGGCAAGCGUUGUUCGGAAUUACUGGGCGUAAAGGGCGCGUAGGCGGCUCGACAAGUCCCGCGUGAAGGCCCCCGGCUCAACUGGGGAACUGCGCGGGAAACUGUCGGACUUGAGUUCGGGAGAGGGAAGCGGAAUUCCGGGUGUAGCGGUGAAAUGCGUAGAUAUCCGGAGGAACACCGGUGGCGAAGGCGGCUUCCUGGACCGACACUGACGCUGAGGCGCGAAAGCUAGGGGAGCAAACGGGAUUAGAUACCCCGGUAGUCCUAGCCCUAAACGAUGAGUGUGGG